RNAcentral lists this ribosomal RNA (565 nucleotides) under uncultured eukaryote. RNAcentral's name for it is "bacterial SSU rRNA". It matches the Rfam family "Eukaryotic small subunit ribosomal RNA", at positions 21 to 549 of the family's 1831-position model. The record is from RNAcentral.
UAGUCAUACGCUAAACUCAAAGAUUAAGCCAUGCAUGUCUCAGUACAGCCUAGACAAAGUGAAACCGCAAACAGCUCAUUAAAUCAGUUGCAACUUCCUUGCUCUCGAGUUUCUUAAAUGGAUAACUGUGGUAAAUCUAGAGCUAAUACAUGAAAACUUGUCUUGCCGGCAACGGUAGGUCGCAUUUUAUUGGACCCAGAUCAUAAGCAGCUUUUCGGAGCGGCUUUUACAUCAGAGGUGACUCUAGAUAACACUCAGCUAUCAUUCAAGUCCUCUUCGAGCGACGGUGAAGUGUAAUUCAGACUUCUGCCUUAUCAACUAAUGUUGGUAGGCGACGGGACUACCAAGGUGGUCACGAGUAACGGGGAAUAUGGGUUUUAUUCCGGAGAAGGAGCCUGAGAAACGGCUACUACAUCUAAGGGUGGCAGCAGGCGCGCAAUUUGCCCAAUUUUAGACGUAGGAGGCAGUGACGAGACAUAAACAUUGAUGAGCGCAGUUUUCGAAUUGCGUUUCAUCAAAAAAAUUGUGAUUGAGCACAAUGUAAAUGCUUUGGCGACAAUCUAUU